RNAcentral lists this ribosomal RNA (609 nucleotides) under Micromonospora sp. S20-25. RNAcentral describes it as "bacterial SSU rRNA". It matches the Rfam family "Bacterial small subunit ribosomal RNA", at positions 53 to 680 of the family's 1533-position model. The record is from RNAcentral. Lineage: Bacteria; Bacillati; Actinomycetota; Actinomycetes; Micromonosporales; Micromonosporaceae.
ACAUGCAAGUCGAGCGGAAAGGCCCUUCGGGGUACUCGAGCGGCGAACGGGUGAGUAACACGUGAGCAACCUGCCCCAGGCUUUGGGAUAACCCCGGGAAACCGGGGCUAAUACCGAAUAUGACCUCCGAUCGCAUGGUUGGUGGUGGAAAGUUUUUCGGCUUGGGAUGGGCUCGCGGCCUAUCAGCUUGUUGGUGGGGUGAUGGCCUACCAAGGCGACGACGGGUAGCCGGCCUGAGAGGGCGACCGGCCACACUGGGACUGAGACACGGCCCAGACUCCUACGGGAGGCAGCAGUGGGGAAUAUUGCACAAUGGGCGGAAGCCUGAUGCAGCGACGCCGCGUGAGGGAUGACGGCCUUCGGGUUGUAAACCUCUUUCAGCAGGGACGAAGCGUAAGUGACGGUACCUGCAGAAGAAGCGCCGGCCAACUACGUGCCAGCAGCCGCGGUAAGACGUAGGGCGCGAGCGUUGUCCGGAUUUAUUGGGCGUAAAGAGCUCGUAGGCGGCUUGUCGCGUCGACUGUGAAAACCCGCAGCUCAACUGCGGGCCUGCAGUCGAUACGGGCAGGCUAGAGUUCGGUAGGGGAGACUGGAAUUCCUGGUGUAGCG